Molecule: long non-coding RNA, 1316 nt
Filed under: Podarcis muralis (Common wall lizard)
Lineage: Eukaryota; Metazoa; Chordata; Lepidosauria; Squamata; Lacertidae
Description: lncRNA (ENSPMRG00000018054.1)
Source: RNAcentral
GCAUUUGCUCUCAUGCUAUGUCAAGUUUCCUAACACCCCGGCCAUAAUAGGUGGCGAUUUUAAUGCCCGCACAGCAGCAAAUUGGGACUCGCUGACCAAAGCCAAAUGGUGGGUUACCCCAAACCUUGAUAAUUAUGAUCUGGAACAUAUCAUGAGGAGAACUUCUAAAGACCAACGAGUUAAUGAGGCUGGAGUAUUCCUCUACCAAAUGGCCAUCCGUUUAAAUCUGGUCCCCCUAAAUGGCACAUGCCUCCCUGAUAUUCCAGGGGAUUUCACUCACCUGAGUGUUAAAUCAAACAGCGUCCUCGAUUACCUGCUGGUCUCCAGUGAUCUACUUAAGUGUAUUUCCUCCUUUAAGAUCGAGAAUGUACAAUCUAGUGAUCAUCUUCCCCUCGUAGCCAAGCUUUCCCUGAAUUGGCAGUCGGAGGCCUAUAGACAUGCGACCCAGAUGGUAACCAACGUAUCUCUCCAAGUAAGAGGAAUCAAAUGGUCGGAGACCCAGGCUCAAAGGUAUCAGGAAUUCUUUCAAAAAGAAAUCCUCGGGCCCCAUCCCUACAUAGGCUCUGCCUCAGACGAGCAUAGCAUAGUGUUGAAACGCUUCCACCAUCAUACGACUGAUCUUACGUCCUUCUUCAGGUUUCCACCCAAAAUAUUAAAUCGAAACGAGUAUACUUACGGUGCCCCCUGGUAUAACUCUCAGUGCAAAGAAGCAAGACAGCGCCUUCGUGCUAUAUAUAAUGUAUAUAAGACCUCCGAUGCAUCUACUCUGCCAGCUAGUUAUGCACAAGCCAAGCAAGUUUACAAACGCACGCAGAAAAUUGCCAAACGUGAGUGGCAACAUAAUCGCUGGCAGGCCUUGAUUACUGCUUCAAAAUCACAUAGAUCCAGGGAAUUCUGGUCUCUGAUUAACAGAAGGGUGAGGAAAUACCCUAGGGCAGUCAUCCCUGCACCGACAUGGGAAUUGUUCCUGAAGAAAUGCUUCUCACAGGCAGAUGCUCCCUCCGACCAUCUGAUGCAUCUGUUUUCCCACCUACCUAUUUGGCCUCCCACCGAUCCUGAUGAAAUAGCCAAGCUAAUAGCCCAGUUGAAACCGGGCAAAGCCCCUGGGCCCGACCUGAUCCCUGCUGAAGCCAUCAAACUACACCCAAAAUGGUGGGCUGGCAUCUUGGCCAAAACCUUCGACGCAAUCAACGCUUCCGGUCUCAUCCCCAAAAUAUGGAAGGAGGCCAUUAUAGUACCAAUUCAUAAAAAAGGUUCUCCAAUGGAGCCGGAAAACUACCGUAACAUCAGCCUCCUUUCGAUCAUAGGGAAAAUUU